CAAACGUGGAGGGAACAAACCCGUCGGUUUUGGGCAGGCCGGUCGACACAUCCAGAAAUGCUGAAAUGAACGUUGUUGAUGUCACUGUAGCUCCGUGUUCCGUUUGCUCUCAUGUGCAGCAUACAUCAGUGCUCCAGAAGAAGAACACAUCUAGAUCUAGAGAGUUUCUCCGGAAUUGCUCCUCCACAUUUUUCCUCUUGAGAAAGGCCCAGGCUCAACACCAGCAUCGUUAGAGCCAAGGAUUAUAAGAGAGCAGAAGGGCUUUUUUCUCUGCUUGAUUUUGGGAUUCUGCUAAGCUACCACAGCCUUAUUAGAUCAUGGCGCUGUAAAAAGACUUGGGGAAUGCUGCAACUGGUUUUGUUCACCAACUCCUUAACUCAAGACCAGAUAAGAACGCACAGGCAAUAUGCAAUGCAUGGGAACUCUCUAGUCUUAAAUUCUGUCCUUCCUGACCCCCUGAUAGUGUUUCUGCACUGCAAGUAAAUCUGCCCUGGAUAACUUUCCUUUAAAAGAGGGAAGCUUUGUUUUUCCUCAGAGGGACAAGGAGUUAA
Molecule: long non-coding RNA, 551 nt
Filed under: Gallus gallus (chicken)
Lineage: Eukaryota; Metazoa; Chordata; Aves; Galliformes; Phasianidae
Description: long non-coding RNA NONGGAT002732
Source: RNAcentral